UAUCCAUUUCGCCCGGUCUCCCACCUUUCUCUCGCGCGUUUCUCUCUCUCUCUCUUGUGAAGCCUUUCCUCCCUCCCAGACCUCCUCUCCUAGCCUCCCACCUCCCAUCCAGAUCUCGCCGCGCCACGCCGCCCUUUUCCACGUCGUCGGGCAUGGAAGGUCAAUGAAGGGUGUCGACGGACUGCGUCGGCCAUGUCAGUGCCUCAUUGAUCAUGGCGUUGUCAAUGCACCACCCUUCAUCAUCGUUGGGCGUUAUCGCUGGCCUCUCUUCACGUCGUCAAGAUCCAGUGGCGAUGGCGGUGGCGCGGUGGUCUCGGCAGCGACGACGGUGGCGCAGAGUCCUGGCAGCGGGCGGAGCAUGAGUGGCGGCGGCAUGCAACAGUGUGCAGCGGCAGUGGUGCCAGCAGCGGAUUUGUUUUUUGAGAUUUUUGGAUUUUUUUUUGGUUGCUUUGAUGCAUCGGCUCGGUUCAAUUUGAGCCGAGCUGAAUUUUAUUAUUCUUAUUUUUAUUAUUAUUUUUUUCAAUUCGUAUAUCUCAAAGGUGCUGGUUUUGAGUGUUUCUAAUCUGUGCUGCCUUCGUGGUGCCGGUUGGAAAAUUCGGCACCUUUGUGAGGUUCCCAACCGGCACAUAUUGCUUGGGCACAUAUUGCUUGUUGUGUGGCAGUGGUUGAACAACUCAAUGUUUCGAAUUGUAAAUACCUGGAUCGAACUCAAUGUUUUAUAUUUUAGAUAAUGUCUUUUUUUUUA
Molecule: long non-coding RNA, 745 nt
Organism: Oryza sativa Japonica Group (Japanese rice)
Lineage: Eukaryota; Viridiplantae; Streptophyta; Magnoliopsida; Poales; Poaceae
Source: RefSeq, a predicted model, not a curated record